CUCCCUGCUUCCUACAGAAUAAAGGCCUAACUCCUGAGCUCCUGGCUGGCAUUCAGAGCUCUGUCGCCCCUCCCUGGUCUCCAGGGCCCUGUAGCUUGCAACCACGUGGGAUUAUCCGUCCAAGUGAAUUCUUUUCCUUCCUAGCCACCCAAUUAGACUUAAUUCCUCCUCAACAAAGCUUCCUAAACUGCCUGUUAGAAUUGAUCUCUUCCUGCUCCAUUUCCCUAAAGCCUUUUUAGUCCACUCUGCUGUCUACUGCAGUGUCCUUGUUAAGUCACCUGUCUGACCCCCAGGCUCAGGUGUGAGGCGCCGGAGGACUGCGGCCACAUCUUUGUCACAGCUGUGCUCAAGCAGGUCAUCUAAGAUGCUACUUGCAGAAGUGACAUUGUGACAUUGUGGGAAGGCACCGAAUAUGCAAAUAGGCACCAACUAGAGAACCAGAUCCUCUUCUACUGUCUCUUCACACAACUGGAUCUGAUCUGGCUGUGGAGCCUAUUUGCAUCAGUUACACCCGGAAGAAAAUCUUAGAGGCCCCAGCUAGGACAUCGAUCUGUCUACACCAGCCACAUUAACUGGCCACCGAGAGCACAGACAUGUUGCCCUUGGUGUUGUGAUCAAGCAAAGCCUCUCUCUGUCCUUGGCUCGCUCUCUCUCCUGACCCUGCAAGAAGUAACUGAAAACAAUCUAGUAUGUGUCUUUCAAACCGGAGAUGGAAUGCUCAGUGGUCCACAGUUUUUAUCUUUAUUAAUGUAUAAAAACCAACUUUUAACAAUUGUAUAACACUUUGUCAUUAUGAAGAUCUCUCACUUUAUUAACAUUUUGUGUCACGCUCAUGAAUUACUCCAUGAGGCAAGUUACUAUCUGUUAUAUGUAGAUGUAAACGGAAGUCCUGACGGUGAGUAGCUUUGCCCAAGCUUUGUACACAACUGGUCGGCAGCAGGCCUUCUAAAUCCUUCUUUCAUGCCCUCCCCCCACCAGGAGGAAGGGAGACAUUCCUACAAAGUCUUUUGCACGCAGCCCUCAAAUCCACACGAAGCUGCUCUACCUCUUAUACAUGCGAUUUUUCGGGUGAAGAAAUGCAAGAAGUACAGGACUUGGAGAUUCCACGGUAUGAUGGUAAUGGAAUAGGUGUUCUCGGAAGAUACGUAACUCUUAAAAAAUUGGGGACUGAGGAUCACGAUGAAUCAGUGAAAAACGUAAAAGUUUCCAGUAAUAUCUGGAAGCCAUAUAAGAAAAAUACCAAAAAUAGAGGAACAACAAGCAGAUUUACUUGAUGUAGAAAAGUGGCUGAAAGACAAGUUCAGAGAGGGAUUCAGGAACAUGAGAGAAUUUGACAAAUGUGAUCCAGAAAAUAUAGGCAAGAUAUUGCGCCGACACCAACCCCCUACUUAGGGACCCUUAGACUCGUGUGUGGGCCGGUCCCCCGCACCGAGUGGCGCCUGAACAGGGACCUGAAUAGAAGAAAAAAAAAAGAGGAAAAGAAAAGAAAAAGAAAACAAAGAUAUUCAAAGGACAGUGAUUCGCCUAUUUGAGUUCCCGAUCACCUGAUUCGUCAUGUCUCCGUGCGCGCAUGGCUGAGGCUGCAAAACUGGAGGACCGCCAAACCCGCCACUGAAUUGCCCCGCCCCGGGGAUGUGAUCAACAACCUAGCACAAAGGAUUGAACAGAUUCGCCUACAACCCAAAGUUCCUAGACAGAUGGCCCAAAAUAAUAUUCUCCCUACUAGGAGACAAAUUAACAAUCUUAUCAGAAGAACUGAUCAGUUUCUUGAGGAGCGACAUCAACCUAGAGUCAGCCUUCCUUUUUCUUGCCAUGCUUGCUUCACUUUCAUGGCGUGUAACACCAGCUCCUACUGCUAACUAUUGGGCCUUUUUUCCAAAGCCUCCUGCUUUCCAUCCUGUUACUUGGGAUGAAGAGCCUAUUAAGGUUUAUACCAAUACAUCUGUACUUCUUGGAGGCUUUGAUAUUCCUGACCCAGGAGUCUUUGUUACUGCGCUUAAUAAGAAUGUUACUUAUGUAGGUGUUUCCUCUUCUUUACCCAUGUGUUUUACUUUCCCUAUGAUGCGGCCGUUCUCUAUUUCUAUUCCUAAUUGUGUCCCUACUCAGAUUUCUGGUAUAAUCCAAGACAGAGUAUCUCUGGUGACUCCUACAUAUUCUCGCAAUAAGGCCUUAAAUACUCAUACAAUAAAAAUGCGAACAUUAACUGCUGUUCUUCCAGGAACUAAGGUAUCUGGUGUAAAAACUUAUCCUCUUAAAAAUAUGGUGACAAUAAAUAAAUUCCAUACUCAUCCACCAGGAUGCCCAGACUGUAAGCCAUUUAGUACUAAUUCAGAGGAAACAGAGAAUACUGUUCAAGGAGCACGCCCUAUGUGGAUUGAAUGCAGGUUUAAUUCAACCCGACCAACACUAGUAACUGCUCCUGAUAAUUCCAAAGUUAUUCAAGAUUCGAGUGCACCUGAUCCCUUUGCUGAUUUUAGAAAUUAUUUUUAUGGUAAAUCUGGUUGGACAGAUUCUCUUAUACCUUCCCCUAUUUUAAUUAAUCGUAUUUCUACCCAAGGGUUUAUGGUUCCUAUUCUGGUGUCACAACAAAAGCAACCUAUUAGGUUUCAUAGCCAUAUUUGGAGGUUAUUAGCGGCCACUCGAAACGCUACCUAUUCUUUUGGUCAAAAUACUACACAGACAUAAUUUUAAAGCUUGUGUGACCUCUCCUUUUGCUCUACUAAUGCUAAAGAUUUAACUUCUUUACAAAUCAAAAAACAACCUCAUAGUAAAAGUUAUACUAUAAAUUGUAAAAGGUGUCUUUUAUCUAAUUGUGUAACCUCUAAGAUGAAUAUUAGAAUGAUGAUGAUUGUAAAACAACCACCUUCUAUUAUGAUUCCUGUAAAUGUUUCCUCUCCCUGGUAUAAUAAUCACGGGAUAUUUUUAAUAAUGAGCUUUUAAAUAAUGAGCUGUCUCAUCCAAGAAAAUUUAUCGCUGCUUUGGUAUUGGGAAUGACUACAUUAAUUUCUAUUAUUUCUGCUGUCACUGUAUCCACUGUUGCUUUGAUUAAGGAAGUACAUACAGCCUCUUUUGUUAAUGAUAUGUCUAAAAAUGUAACAUUAGCUUUAACUGCUCAGGAAAUUAUUGACCGAAAGCUCAAUGAUAAGGUUAAUGUUCUUGAAAAGCGCAGUUCUGCCUAUUGGCCAAGAAUUAUUGACUUUAAAAAUUCAACUGUCUCUCAGAUGUCACUCUGAUUAUAAGUGGAUUUGUGUUACUCCUUUACAAGUAAAUGAGUCCCAACAUUCUUGGGACAAGGUGCAACAGUAUAUUUUGGGAAUUUGGACCAUUCAGACUUGAGUUUUGAUAUAAGUGCCUUACAUAAACAAAUUUCUGAUAUUAAUGAGGCCAGAGAAGAUUUCAAUGCUGAUAAACUUGCUUCUGACAUUUAUAAUAAAAUAACAAAUCUAGUAGGACACUCCAGUUUCUUUUCCUUGAUGGUUAAUGCUGGCAUCUCACUGGCAAUAUUCUUGAUAAUAUUGUCCCUUUUGCCGUGUGUUUAUAGAUGCCUUAAGUCCAGCAUUUCUCGCCUGCACACUAAAGUCAAAGCUGCUGAGUUCUUAAAUAAAAAAGGGGGAAAUGUAGGGGCCCAUUCUGCCAAAAGACCUGUUGAGAUCCCGCUGUAAGUCAC
Molecule: long non-coding RNA, 3667 nt
Organism: Suricata suricatta (meerkat)
Lineage: Eukaryota; Metazoa; Chordata; Mammalia; Carnivora; Herpestidae
Exons: 5
Source: RefSeq, a predicted model, not a curated record